CGCAUCUGUGCAUGCAGCAUAUCAAUAAGCGGAGGAAAAGAAACUAACAAGGAUUCCCUUAGUAACGGCGAGUGAAGCGGGAAGAGCUCAAAUUUGAAAUCUUCAAGGUUUUACCUUGACGAAUUGUAGUUUAAAGAAGUGUUUUCUGUUGAAGUUUUGGUAAAAGUUCUUUGGAAUAGGACAUUAUAGAGGGUGAGAAUCCCGUAUUUGACCAUUAUUUUCAGCUGUGUGAUACACUUUCAGAGAGUCGGAUCGUUUGGGAAUGCAGUCCAAAAUGGGUGGUAAAUUUCAUCUAAAGCUAAAUAUUGGCGAGAGACCGAUAGCGAACAAGUACCGUGAGGGAAAGAUGAAAAGAACCUUGAAAAGAGAGUUAAACAGUACGUGAAAUUGUCAAAAGGGAAGCGUUUGACACCAGUGUUGUUUUCUCGAAAAUCAAUUAAAAAGAGUUUGAUUUUGUUGUGUAUUGACCUUAACAGCUUGCAUUUCAAUUUUCUUGCUUUUUUUAAUGCACUUUUCGUUUAACAAGUCAACAUCAGUUUCUUUUGUUGUAAAAAGGUCAUUGGAAGGUGGCUUUCUUUUCGGAGAAAGUGUUUAUAGCCUUUGACUCCUGCAAUCGGAGAGACUGAGGUCUGCAGCGUAGAUCCUUCGGGGUUAGAUACAUUUGUGCUAAGUUAUAGCCUUUUAUAGACAACUUGUUGACUAUGAUUAGUCUUGUAGCUUACUCGCUUAUGCUAUUUUACCUACGCUUAGGAUGUUGACGCGCGUGUGUGCGUG
RNAcentral lists this ribosomal RNA (774 nucleotides) under uncultured Neocallimastigales. RNAcentral describes it as "partial large subunit ribosomal RNA". It matches the Rfam family "Eukaryotic large subunit ribosomal RNA", at positions 26 to 639 of the family's 3401-position model. Lineage: Eukaryota; Fungi; Neocallimastigomycota; Neocallimastigomycetes; Neocallimastigales. The record is from RNAcentral.